Molecule: non-coding RNA, 36 nt
Filed under: Schistosoma margrebowiei
Lineage: Eukaryota; Metazoa; Platyhelminthes; Trematoda; Strigeidida; Schistosomatidae
Source: RNAcentral
ACUGAGGAGUCCCACAAUAGGACGAAACGGCCGUCU